GGGGGCUCGCUGUGUCGCACACGCUGGAGUGCAGUCGUGCAAUCAUGGCUUACUACAGCCUCAAACUCCUGGGCUCAAGCGACGCUCACACCUCAGCCUCCUAAGUAGCUGGGAUUACAGACACAGCGUUUCGACAUGUUGCCCCAGGCUGGUCUUGAACUCCUGAGCUCAAGCAGUCCUCCUGCCUCAGCCUCCCAAGGUGCUGGGAUUAUAGGCAUGAGCCACUGUAUCCAGCCUAAAUGUUCCUCUUUUUAUAAGGAUAGCCGUCAUAUUGGAUUAGGGCCCACACUAACGACCUCAUUCUACCUUGGUUACCCCUGGAAGAACCCUAUCUCCAAAUGCAGUCACAUUCUGAGGAGCAGGUCUGCUUGUCAAGAGUCCAAGCACGCCUGUGUUCUGUGGCCACAGGAGAGGAGGGGCCGCUUUUAAAUACAAGCCUACUCCUGUCGUUGGACCAGAACAAAGACCUACUGGCCAGAAGCACAUGAGAGGAGUUUCACUCUUGUCGCCCAGACUAGAGCGCAAUGGUACGAUCUUGGCUCACUGCAACUUCCACCUCCCGAGUUCAAGCAAUUCUCCUGACAGAAGUCCACUCAAGCCAGCCAUUGUAGCUAGCAUCGGGGCUCCAGCC
Molecule: long non-coding RNA, 631 nt
Organism: Homo sapiens (human)
Lineage: Eukaryota; Metazoa; Chordata; Mammalia; Primates; Hominidae
Source: Ensembl